Molecule: long non-coding RNA, 602 nt
Organism: Teleopsis dalmanni
Lineage: Eukaryota; Metazoa; Arthropoda; Insecta; Diptera; Diopsidae
Exons: 3
Source: RefSeq, a predicted model, not a curated record
AUAUAAAAGUAGAAGAAAAGUUGAGCUGUAAGCAAACGUACUGAGAAGCUUAUUUGGAAUUGAUCUUGAACUAUUUUCAAUUCUGUGAAAUAUUGUAGUUCCUAAAAAAAAGCUAAAUUACUCAGAAUUUUGAAGGAGUAUAACCGUCGUCAUGGACAUUAAAGUAGAAUUGAUCAAAGAAGCGGAGUUUGGAAAGCAUGUGUUACUGAUAUUAUUGCUUAUUGUAACGAUAUUUGUGAUUCAUUUAACGGUUUAUUUUUUUACCGCUAGGUUCCACAACAAUGCAAACGCUAUACUAUUAUAUGAGCACGGAAUCGUCGAACACUUUCGAGUACCAAUCAAUAAUAAUACGUUCAUGAUGCUGCUGCAAAAUCUUCGUGUUGGGCAACGACUUUUCAUCCGAAACAGGCGUGAAAAUCAGCAUAUGGGAUAAUACGAAGACCAAUAUCUUACCAAAUAACCACAAUUUUCGAAUAAACAACUUCUCAAGUAAUAUGAAUAAGCAAGUGCGUUGCAGUGCUCUAUACUUGCUCUAUACGUUGUCUAUUAAAGGGAAGAAACCUUUAUAUAAAAAAAACUGUUAACAUUUUCUAUCGAUAACU